UUCCAAAAUUAACAAAUAAUGUCUUACAAACCCAAAAUUUAUAAAUAAUGUCUUACAAACGCAAAAUUAAACACACAAUAAUUAACUAAGACAACAUAAUUAAUAUGUGUUCAUACAACCCAAAAAUAAAUUAUGAAAUUAUUCAAAUGACAUCAAUCCUCAUAAUAAUUCCUCUGAUCAGCUCCACUCACACCAUCAUUAUUUCCUGCCAUGCCCGACGAAAGAAGUCCCUCAAAAGAAUUAUUAAUUUGUGUUGGAGGAGACAUCAUGGUUUGAAAUUGAAUUUCAUCUUCAAUGGCACCACCACUAGUCGAAUGAGGAGCCCUAGCUGGUUGAUGUUGAUUUAAAUCUGGUCUGAUCAACCCAGCUAUUGGCAUAGUUGGUCGGUAUGCAGUUUGAUGAUCUGGUUGAGG
This 413-nucleotide long non-coding RNA is filed under the name Cicer arietinum (chickpea). RNAcentral's name for it is "long non-coding RNA (CARI_LNC000297)". The record is from RNAcentral. Lineage: Eukaryota; Viridiplantae; Streptophyta; Magnoliopsida; Fabales; Fabaceae.